RNAcentral lists this microRNA precursor (67 nucleotides) under Xenopus tropicalis (tropical clawed frog). Its description in RNAcentral is "Xtr-Mir-181-P1b_pre stem-loop". It matches the Rfam family "mir-181 microRNA precursor family", at positions 12 to 73 of the family's 83-position model. From Rfam's summary of the family: In this case the mature sequence comes from the 5' arm of the precursor. The extents of the hairpin precursors are not generally known and are estimated based on hairpin prediction. The products are thought to have regulatory roles through complementarity to mRNA. Lineage: Eukaryota; Metazoa; Chordata; Amphibia; Anura; Pipidae. The record is from RNAcentral.
AACAUUCAACGCUGUCGGUGAGUUUGAGAAAGUGUAAAAAUAUAAACCAUCGGCCGUUGACUGUACC